ACGAAGGUGGCAAGCGUUGUUCGGAUUUACUGGGCGUACAGGGAGCGUAGGUGGUUCGGUAAGCCUCUCGGGAAAUCUCCAGGCUCAACCUGGAACGGUCGGGAGGGACUGCCGUGCUAGAGGACGGGAGAGGAGCGCGGAAUUCCCGGUGUAGCGGUGAAAUGCGUAGAGAUCGGGAGGAAGGCCGGUGGCGAAGGCGGCGCUCUGGAACGUUCCUGACGCUGAGGCUCGAAAGCGUGGGGAGCAAACAGGA
RNAcentral lists this ribosomal RNA (253 nucleotides) under uncultured prokaryote. Its description in RNAcentral is "partial 16S ribosomal RNA". It matches the Rfam family "Bacterial small subunit ribosomal RNA", at positions 525 to 777 of the family's 1533-position model. The record is from RNAcentral.